This 603-nucleotide ribosomal RNA is filed under the name uncultured bacterium. Its description in RNAcentral is "bacterial SSU rRNA". It matches the Rfam family "Bacterial small subunit ribosomal RNA", at positions 959 to 1533 of the family's 1533-position model. The record is from RNAcentral.
AAACGAAAAACCUCACCAGGACUUGACAUAAUAUCGUUUAUUUCUAAGGAAACUUGGGAAAAUCCGCAAGGAUGAUAUUACAGGUGCUGCAUGGCUGUCGUCAGCUCGUGCCGUGAGGUGUUCCCUUAAGUGGGGAAACGAGCGCAACCCCCAUUCAAUGUUAAAUUGUUCAUUGGAGACAGCCCCAUCCUCAAGCGCAUAAAAAUUUGUGCUUUUGAGGAUGGGGAGGAAGGAGGGGAAGACGUCAAGUCAGCACGGCCCUUAUGUCCUGGGCUACACACACACUACAAUGGCGAAAAACAAUGGGCUGCAAGCCGGCAACGGCAAGCUAAUCCCUGAAAUUUCGCCUCAGUUCAGAUUGGGGGCUGAAACUCGCCCCCAUGAAGUUGGAAUAGGUAGUAAUCGCGGAUCAGCAUGCCGCGGUGAAUACGUUCUCGGGUCUUGUACACACCGCCCGUCAAGGCAGCAAAGUCGGGGGUGGCCGAACUUCGAUUAUGUCGGGGGAGGUCAAAUUCGGCGAUGAAGCUUAAGUCGUAACAAGUGUAUCCCUAGCCGAAGCUGCGGCUGGAUCACCUCCUUAAUCUAGAUGCAUCGCGAGUCAGC